RNAcentral lists this unclassified non-coding RNA (179 nucleotides) under uncultured Nemania. RNAcentral describes it as "sequence contains ITS1". Lineage: Eukaryota; Fungi; Ascomycota; Sordariomycetes; Xylariales; Xylariaceae. The record is from RNAcentral.
AAGAGUUUUCUACAACUCCCAAACCCCUGUGAACAUACCUUCUGUUGCCUCGGCAGGCCUCGCCUACCCUCGUAGCCCCCUACACCGUAGGGCCUACGCCGGGUGGUGCGCGGACCCUGCCGGCGGCCCGCGAAACUCUGUUUAGCACUGAAUCUCUGAACAUAUAACUAAAUAAGUUA